CUCUUUUUCAGGGCGUGCCAGACAGCGUGCGGAUGGCUGCCAGCAAUGUCCUGGUGGCUCUGGCCCGGACACACUUCACCUUGGUGAUGGCCGAGCUCCAGGGCCACCUGAAGGCUGCGGGGGAGAUGUCCAAGGAGUUUGUGCUCGUCACCCUGAGCAAGCUGUUCACCAGCUACGGUAGAGUGCCCUCAGCCUCCUGACGUCUAUGACAGCCGGAGAAAGGGCUCUCUCCCCUCUGCGCAUCAUCUGCGUUGAGCUGGGGGAUGCAGGGCUGCAGCCCCUCCUCCCUCGCCUCGCUGCUGGGGCUCUGACCAUGGCGCUCUCCUUCCCCUCUGCAGCUCCACAGUGCAUCUCCUUCAUGUGGCUGAUGCUGGCCGGCCUGCGCAGUGUGGUGGGCUGGGUGAGAGGCGGCCGGACCCUGCGCAUUGCUUGUGCUGUUGUGAAACAAUGGCUGGAAGGAGUCAAGGUUCACUUGGGCUCUGGAAAGCAAUGCCCCUGGCCUGCCAUAGAGAUCGAGAAGAUCUACAAGAAUCUUUCCCAGCUCUUCUGCUCUGUGCUGAGGAACUGGCAGGACUGCCAGGAGGAAGAGGACAAACAGGCUGUCCUCGGGGCUGUGGCUACCAUGAUGGCUGUCCUCCUGCAAGAGGAGCUGCCCCGAGAGCACGUUUGGGAGCAGCUCCUCUGGCUCGUGCGCCUGUAUCAGGAGGUCCAAGACACCUGCAGGGGGACCAAGAGCCUCACUAUCUUCCUGGAGGCCUUAGAGGGAUUUCAAUCGGUCAUCCCUAAGGACAAGUUUCUGGCCAUCACCAGUGCUGUGUUCUACCAGCUCUCUGAUGACACCAAGGAGCACAGCGAGGC
RNAcentral lists this long non-coding RNA (858 nucleotides) under Gallus gallus (chicken). RNAcentral's name for it is "lncRNA (ENSGALG00010002980.1)". The record is from RNAcentral. Lineage: Eukaryota; Metazoa; Chordata; Aves; Galliformes; Phasianidae.